RNAcentral lists this long non-coding RNA (14514 nucleotides) under Manihot esculenta (cassava). RNAcentral describes it as "long non-coding RNA (MESC_LNC011170)". Lineage: Eukaryota; Viridiplantae; Streptophyta; Magnoliopsida; Malpighiales; Euphorbiaceae. The record is from RNAcentral.
AGACAGGAGGGGUACACCUAGAGGUGUUAUAUCAGCCCUACAGGCUCGUAGGUUGCUCAGGAGGGGUUGUCAGGGUUUUCUAGCUUAUGUCAGAGAGCUGGAUAGUCAUGUUAGAGAGCUCGCCUCAGUGCCCGUGGUCAGAGAGUUUUUAGAUGUUUUCCCAAACGAGCUGCCAGGUUUACCACCUGCUAAGGAGAUAGAGUUUGAAAUUGAAUUGAUGCCUGGAACCAGACCGAUCUCUAUCCCUCCCUACAGGAUGGCACCAGCUGAGUUGAAAGAGUUAAAAGAGCAGUUGCAAGAGCUGGUAGACAAGGGUUUCAUCCGACCGAGUACCUCACCUUGGGGUGCUCCAGUGCUAUUUGUGAAAAAGAAAGAUGGAUCCCUUAGACUUUGUAUCGACUACAUGCAGUUGAACAAAUUCACUACCAAGAAUAAGUACCAGUUGUCUAGGAUCGACGAUCUAUUCGACCAGCUAGCAGGAGCAGGUUAUUUCUCCAAGAUAGAUCUGAGAUCCGGGUACCAUCAGUUGAGAAUAAGAGAAGAAGAUGUGCCAAAGACAGCGUUCAGGACCAGAUAUGGGCAUUAUGAGUUCCUUGUGAUGCCGUUCGGGUUAACCAAUGCCCCUGCAGCAUUCAUGGACCUCAUGAAUAGAGUUUUUAGUCACUUUGUUAUUGUCUUCAUAGAUGAUAUCCUAGUGUAUUCCAGGAAUGCAGAGGAGCAUGCCCAUCAUCUGAGGUUAGUCUUGCAGAUCUUGAGGGAACACGGCUUGUAUGCCAAGUUCUCUAAGUGUGAGUUUUGGUUGAGGAGCAUUUCAUUCUUGGGGCAUGUUGUGUCAGAAAAUGGAAUUGAAGUGGACUCCAAGAAGGUGGAAGCUGUAGCUAACUGGCCUAGACCCACUACAGUGACAGAGAUAAAUAGCUUCUUGGGUUUGGCAGGUUACUACAGGAGGUUUAUUCAGGACUUCUCUAAGAUUGCAGCUCCUAUGACCAGACUGACUAAGAAGAACCAGAGGUUUGUGUGGACUGACCAGUGUGAAGACAGUUUUGAAGAGCUAAAGAAGAGGUUAACUUCAGCACCGGUGUUAGCUCUGCCAACUAGUAAUGAAGACUUCACAGUGUAUUGCGAUGCGUCCCGUGUGGGACUGGGUUGUGUGUUGAUGCAAAAUGAAAGGGUGAUUGCUUAUGCUUCUAGGCAGCUGAAGAAGCAUGAGUUGAAUUAUCCUACACAUGACCUAGAGAUGGCAGCUGUAAUCUUUGCACUCAAGAUGUGGAGGCAUUACCUUUAUGGGGUCCAAUGUGAGAUCUUCACAGAUCAUAAAAGCUUGCAGUACAUCUUGAGUCAGAGAGAGUUGAACCUGAGGCAGAGGAGAUGGGUAGAACUGCUCAGUGACUAUGAUUGCAAGAUCUAGUACCAUCCGAGUAAGCCGAAUGUUGUGGUAGACGCCCUAAGCCGGAAAUCACUUGGCAGUCUAUCUCAUAUUUCAGCAGAGAGGAGACCGGUGGUGAGGGAGUUUUAUAAGCUCAAUGAUGAAGGGCUACAGCUAGGGUUGUCUGGUACAGGUGCUUUGAUAGCCCAGAUGAGAGUGACACCUGUGUUUCUGGAGCAGGUGGCUCAGAAACAGCACGAGGACCCAAAGUUAGUAAAGAUUGCCAGGAUUGUUCAGUCAGGCAAGAACGAAGAGUUCAAAUUUGACAGCAAGGGGAUCCUCCGCUAUGGGAAUAGAUUGUGUGUGCCAGAUGACGUGGGUUUGAAGGGAGACAUUAUGAGAGAGGCUCAUAAUGCUAGAUAUAAUGUUCACCCUGGAGCCACCAAGAUGUAUCAGGAUCUGAAAAGGGUUUAUUGGUGGCCAGCUAUGAAAAGAGAAGUGGCACAGUUCGUGUCAGCCUGCGAAGUAUGUCAGAGGGUGAAGCUGGAACAUCAGAAGCCGGCUGGAAUGCUUAACCCACUGCCGAUUCCAGAGUGGAAAUGGGAAAAUAUAGCUAUGGACUUCGUAGUGGGGUUACCGGCAACGUCCAACAGAUUGGACUCCAUAUGGGUGAUUGUGGACAGACUGACCAAAUCUGCUCACUUCAUCCCUGUCAGGAGUGGCUAUUCUGUGGACAAGUUGGCGCAGGUGUAUGUUGAUGAGGUUGUCAAGUUGCAUGGGGUUCCUGUUUCAAUAGUGUUUGAUAGAGGGCCCCAGUUCACCUCCAGGUUUUGGCAGAGUCUGCAGAAUGCUAUGGGUACCAGGCUAGACUUCAGCACUGCUUUCCAUCCUCAGACGGACGGACAAUCAGAGAGGACCAUCCAGACAAUAGAGGAUAUGCUCAGAAUGUGUGUGCUAGAUUUUGGCGGUUCUUGGAGGCAGCAUCUACCCUUGGUAGAGUUUGCCUACAAUAACAGCUAUCAUGCUAGCAUAAUGAUGGCUCCAUAUGAAGCGUUGUAUAGAAGGAAGUGCAGGUCACCUGUCUGCUGGGAGGAAGUUGGAGAAAGGGCCUUGGCAGGGCCUGAGCUAGUAGAGAUCACCAGCAGAGUUGUGCCCAUAAUCCGAGAAAGGAUCAAGACUGCUGUGAGCAGGCAAAAGAGUUAUGCAGAUAUCCGCAGAAGGCAAGUAGAGUUUCAGGAGGGGGAUUUGGUAUUGCUCAAGGUGUCUCCUAUGAAAGGGGUGAUUCGGUUUGGGAAGAAAGGUAAGCUAGCUCCACGGUACAUCGGACCCUUUGAGAUCUUGCAGAAGAUUGGGAAUAUAUCGUACAAGUUGGACUUACCUGCUUCUAAGGAGAGAAUCCAUCCGAUUUUUCAUGUUUCCAUAUUACGGAAGUUCGUGUCAAAUCCGGGCAAGGUUCUUAGUGAGCCUGAUGUGGAGAUCCUUGGAGAUCUCACCUAUGUUGAGCAGCUAGUAUGGAUCUUAGACACCCAGAUCAGAAAGCUAAGGAACAAGGAAAUCCCGAUGGUGAAAGUCCUUUGGAAUCACCACAACGUCAAGGAGUGUACCUGGGAGACACGGGAGUCCAUGCUCCAGCAAUAUCCUCAUCUCUUCUAAGGUUAGUGUUAUGUGUUUUAUGUGUAUGUCUAUGUUUUAUGCUUUGCAUGUGUUGUUUGGUGAACAUUCGGGGACGAAUGUUCUUAAAGGGGGGAAGAAUGUAAUACCCGGCUAGACUCCGGUAUCGGAAUUCCUACCGUCCGGUGGAAUCUCGGAUGUCGAAAACCUCUAGAAGGGUAAAAUCAUGUUUUCAUAAAAUAUUUUAAUACAUUUUAAGAUUUUAAGUGAGAAAGAAAUUGAAUUUUGAAUGAAAAAGACCAUAGAGAGAAUUCUAGGUUCGGCCGCCGAAUUUGCAUGAGUUUUGGAGGCACUUUAGGCUUCCGAAGGUGGCCUGGCCAGCCCCUAUAAGAAGCCCCAUGGCCGAAAAUGGGCGAGUUUCUUCCCCAUUUUCGGCUAGAGGUGAGUCCAUGCUCUCCCACGGUUGGUUUUGAUGAUUUUCCUCAAAUCUUUCAAGUUUUAACGAGUUUUAACUUGGUUUUGAAGUUUUGAGCUAAAGAUCAAGCUUUUGGAGCUUGGAGACCCAAGGAGCUAGAUCUCUCCCAUCUCCGAGUUGGAUCGCCUCUCCUCUCUAUCUUCAAGAGGUAAGAGUAGAUGCUCAUCUUUUUUCAUGUUUUGGUUAAGUUUCAUGAAGGUUCAUGGGGUAGAAAUGCAUGUUUAGGUUUAUGUGCUUGUAUGGUUAAUGUGUGUUGUAUAUGUAUGUUUUGUGUUGUUGUUGGGGGUUUAGGAUAGUUUAAGGCCCCUAUAAGCUUAUUUGCUUGAGUAUGCAUGUUGUAGAAUAGCUAAAUGCAUGUUUGAAUUGUUUGGGAGGCAAAAUGUGCAUGAGGAGGCUGGGUUCUGCCACUUUGGGAGAACCCAGGUUCGGUAGCCGAAGGCCCUUUCAGCCGCCGAACCUGCUUGUGGAAACAAACUUUUGGCUGCCGAACCCUACCCCCGAAAGUGGACUUUCGGCUCUGGAAGGGAGUUUCGGCCGCCGAAGAUGCCGCCGAACAUGCACGAGUUUCGGAUCUGGAAGGAACCUUCGGCCGCCGAAAGUGCCGCCGAAGGUGCAUGACUUUCGGCUCUGGAGAGACUUUCGGCCGCCGAAUCUGCCGCCAAAAGUGCCCUGUUUAGCCUUCCUUUGCAUGAUUUCUAUGAUUGUUUUAAGGUGCUUUAAGGGGUUUUUGGGGAGUAGUUUAGAGUCAUGUUCAUGUAUGUUUGGUCCCUCAUUUGAGUCCACCUGUGUAGGUUCGGACUCGAGGAACCGAGGACCCCAGCAGAGAGAUAGCUGCUUCAGUGUCUUUUUAGAGCUAGCCUGAGGUGAGUAGAAUGACUCCUUAUGUUUCAAAGUAAAAUAAUGAAAGUUUUAGCAUGAUUCACGCAUUAUGAAUGCCAUGAGAUAUAUUAGGGUGCUUGCAUUAGAAUUCACGAAUAUGUUGCAUUGCAUGUUAUGUUGUUGAUGUGGAUGAAUGUUGGAUGAUACUUUAGCCCUCACUAUGAUAUGAGAUAGUGAUGAUACGGUAUGAAAGACCAGUGAGGCCCAUUCUACGCCACUGGCACUAUGUAAGUGAAAGACCAGUAAGGCCCAUUCUACGCCCCUGGCAUAUGGAAAUGUCAUGUUAUGUUAAUGUAAGCGAAAGACCAGUGAGGCCCAUUCUAUGCCCCUGGCACUAUUGGAAUGUGUAGAGGGCUAUUGGUGACAAGUUCAUCCUUGAUUGUGAUUUGUUUGUGAUGUGAUGCAUUCCAUGAGAUUAUAUGUUUUAAAUACAAUGCUUUAUUAUUCUGCUCACUGGGCUCUAGUAGCUCACCCCAUUCCCUUAACCCAGGUUUGCAGGUACGGGAUAGACCAGGAGGUCAACCAGAGUAAAGUCAUGUUUUAUGUAAUAGCUAGAUGUGGACAUGAAAAAUAUUGUAAUGUAACGUAUAGUACAGUAAUGUAAUAAAAUGAUGUAAAUUGAGGUUUAGAAUUGUGCUUGGCCCUAGUGUAUGUUAAUCCCUUUUUGGUACAUGAUCUUUUAAUGAAAUGUUUAAUGAUGCGCUUACGUAAUCCAAGCUUAAAAUAUGUAUGUUACCCCAUUGGAGCAUUUGAUGAGGGCUCCAGUGUGGGGUUUUAUGGUUAUGAGUUGUGCAUGCACAGGUUAAGCUUGAUGAAUGAAAUAAAAGUUUAAAUUCUUAUGUAAAUAUAUGAUCAUGUAUGGGAUUAAACAGGUAUACAGGAUGUAUGUUAAGGCUUGCUACGGGUCCCGGCGACCUUAUGUCGAUCUGGAUCCUAGCGCCGGUAGCGGUCCGGUUUCGGGGUCAUUACAAAGUGGUAUCAGAGCCCUAGCACUACAAAAAAGCUGUGAAAUUGUGACCAAAAUUAGCGACCAAAAUUUUUGGUUGCUAUAUAGCAACCAAUCAACGACCAUUCUGCUACUACAUGAAUGAAAUGAUAUUUUUAUUUAACAAAAAGCUCAACGAUCAAAAAUUAGUCAUUAUUUGGUCGCUAUUUAGCGACCAAAUCUUAAAUCGUCGCUAAAUUUAGCGGGAAUUAGUGACGCGAGAUAUUUGCGACCAUAUUUGCGACGAAAUUGCGACUACUUUUUGGGCGGGAAUAUUUUGCGACCAUAUUUAGCGACCAAUCAGCAACCAUUUCAUUUUUAAAAUUUUAAUUUAAUUUUUAAUUAAAUUUUAUUUUAUUUAAAAUUUUAAAUUUUAAAUUAAGUGAUUUCAAUUCGAUCGUUUUGACAAUUUAAGGAUACUCUAUCCUAAUCCCUAAUCUCUAAUCCCUAAUUAAUCACUAAUCCCUAAUAAAAUUAAUCCUAAUCUCUAAUCUCUAAUCCCUAAUCUCUAACCCUGAUUCCUAAUUAAUCUCUAAUUCCUAACAAAACUAACCUUAAUCUCUAAUCCCUAAUCUCUAAUCUCUAAUCAUUAAUCCUAAUCCCUAAUCCUAAUCCCUAAUCCCUAAUUCCUAAUCCUUAAUCCCUAAUCCUUAACAAAAUUAACCCUAAUCCCUAGAGGUGAGCAGAAAUCUGUUCAAACCGAAAAAACCGACCAUACCGAACCGAUUUGAAAAUUUGGUUCGGUUUUUUAUACAUUUCGGUUCGGUUCGGUUUUUAAUUUUAAAAUUUUUGAUUAUUUCGAUUCGGUUCGGUUUUGAUCAGAAAAAAUCAAAAAAAUCGAACCGAACCGAUUAAUGAUAAUAAUAUGUUUUUUCAAUAAUAUAGAGAAAUUAAAUCAUAUUAAGAUUAAAAUAUUUUAAUUAAAUUUUAAAAUACUAAAAAUAAAGUGUAAAAAAUAAAAAAAUUAUUAAAAAUUGAAAUCGAUCAAACCGAACUGAAUCAGACCGGUUCAGUUCGAUUCUAUUUCUGACCAAAAUUGGUUCGGUUCGGUUUUCAUAAACACUAAAAUUUCAGUUUUUGGUUUAUUUGGUUCGGUUCAGUUUUGAACAGAACCGACCGAAUGCUCACCCCUACUAAUCCCUAAUUCCUAAUCCCUAAUCCCUAAUCCCUAAUUAGCUAUACUAACAAAACUAACCCUAAUCCCUCAUUUAUUUUUCCAAUUUACUCGAGUCACACUUUCCUCUCUCCGUCGGCGCCUCUCUCCCCCGAUUUCCUUCCCAUAAUUCCGAAUCGACGGCUCUCUCUCCCACUUCACUGAAGAGUGCCGGCAGCCCAGUCGGCACCAGCGACGUCUCCUUUCUCUCCCCAGCAACGAUAAAUCUUCUCUAUCCCGAUAUCUCCUUCUCUCUCUCCAGUGGCGAUAUCUCCCACUUCCCGUCGGAGACAACCCUUGCCUCUCCCCAAUCGGCGUCGGCAACAUCUCCUUUGACUGGAACUCUCUUCAGGUUUGCAAUCAAAUUUUUUUAUAAUCAAGAUCUUUUAUGUGCAUGUUGUUAAAGAAUUUUUAGUUGCUAUUAAAGAUUUUUAGAAUUUUUGGACUAUUAAUUUGAUUAUUUGGAUACUGUUGAUUUUUAGAAUUUAUGGGCUGCAAUUCAAAAGUAUCUUCUUACCUUAUUCUGUGCAAUCACUUUUCCCGCCUGCCCUCUAUUGUAAUUUUAGCCUUUUUAAUGGAACCAUUAUCUGUCCCCUUGGAAAUUCUGGUCCCUCUCUCUCUUUUUAUUUUUCUUUUUUAUUUUAUUUUAUUGGCUUUUCUUCUCUCUGCAUUUUGAGUCUUGGUCUUCGCUUUACUCAGUUUCUCCUCUAUUAUCUGUUUAUGGCUUCUCCUCAAUUUUCAUUUGUUUAUUUAUUUCAAACUUUUUUAAUUUUUCGCGUUCUUUUCUUAUUUUUCCCAUCUUUGUUUGUUCGGUGGGGUUUUAGUUUAGGAUGCAAUUUUGGAAAUUUUUCUUUGUCCCCAUUGUGGAUUACUGCAGUUUGGAGAUGGAGUUUAAAAGUGGUUAUAAGAUUUUCCCAAUCGAGAGACACAUUGCUGGUAAGAUGAUUUCGGUUCAAUUUGAGUACUAUUAACACAUUCUUCAUUAGGAAUUUAAUUGAGAACUAACUCAAGAAUGCCAUUGUAAGACUGUCUUUGUUAUUGGAUUUGAUGCAACUUGGAGAUGUUGCCUCUUUUUAAGCAAUUGGAUUUGGGGCUUGAGAUAUUUUAUCCUUGAUAGCUCAAUCAUUUUGUUUUUUUUCUUUUGCUUGUUCAUGCGAUAUGAAUAUUUUGUGAGUACAGUUUUUAUUUGUCUUUGACUUUUGUUAAUGAAAGAAAGGCUUAGGUGUUAUUGUUGAUAGUUGAGCUUUUUACACAUUUUGCUGCUAUUCAGAUUUUGGAACAUAGGAUUUAGGUUUAGAAUUUCAGGUGGAUUAUAAUUUUAUUAAUAAUCAAAAAUGUUAUUUUUGACCGAUUUUAAUAAUCACACAGUCAAAAAGAAAAAAUAAUCUAUAAUUUGAUACGGAUAAAGAAAAAUAACAUACUUUUAUAUAGGUUAAAUAGAUUUUCUUUUCGAAGGUUUAGUAGAGUAUUAAAUAAGAAGAUAGUCUAUAAUUUGACACGGAUAAGAAAAAAUAGUCUAUAAUUUGACACGGAUAAAAAAAAUCAACAAGAAUUAAGUGGUAAAAUGUUGAUUUUCAAUGUUAUGAAUUUACUUUGUUUACGAAUUAUACAUUCCAAAUUACAAAUUAUUUAAUGUUUUUUAUUCUCAAACAAUAUUUAAUUUGUAAAAAAUAAAACUAUCAUAAAAUAUCAUUUUAAUUAGUAUUAAAAGUAUUGAUAUUAUAAUAUUAUUAAUUUUAAUAUUAAUAUAUUAAAUUUAUAUUAUAUAUUAUUCAAUUAAUAGUUUUUAUAUUAUAUAUUAUUCAAUUUAUAAUAUAUAUGAUAAUAUUAAUUUUAAUAUUAAUAUAUUAAAUUUAUAUUAAUAGUUUUUUAAAUUAAGAUUGAAAUACUAAGAUUAAAUUAAAAAUUACCUAUGUUAAAUUAAUAUUACCUUAAUCAAUUAAUUUUAGUUAAACGACGGAAUAUUAUGGAUAAAUUGCAGAGUAUAUGAAUAACUAAAAUUAUAUAUACUAAAUAGUGUAUAUAUUUAAAAUUAAAAUAAUUUAAUCAGUAUUUUCUUGGAUAAAAAGAUUAAAUAACUUAACUUUAUUGUAAUUUAACUUAAAAAUAUUUAAUUAAUUAAUUAAUUUUAAUAAAAUAUUAAUGCUUUAAUAAUAAUUUGCUAAAAUAUAAUAUUGCAUUAAAUAAAAAUAUAGUUUUACAAAGCACAAACCUGAACUCAACUUUCUUAUCUCAAUGUUCAGGUUUAUAGUUUUUUCUUAUCUCAAUGUUUAGACUUAUCAGUUUUAUUUAAAAAGAUUAGGUAUAUAUAUUUUAAUAAUAAUUUUAAAAUUAAUAGUAUAUAAAUUAGCAUUUGGCCCUUCUAAAAAAUUAAAUAUGAAACUAAAAUAUAUAUAGUUUGAUAACUUUUAUAUUCAUUUAAAAUAGUAAAAAAUUAAUCAAUACUUAAUUUAUUAGUUUUUCUUAAAUUAUCUUUUAACUUUGAAAAAUUAUAAUUAUAACAAAUUUAAUGUUGGAAAUUAGUUUUAUUUUCAAUUGUAAGAAUACAAUUAUAACAAAUUAAAAUGCCUCUAUUAACUCCUAAAACGAGAUAAAAAUAAAAAUUAUAAUUACCAUCCAGCUAAUUCACUUUAUUUAUGUUAAUAUGAAACUCAACCUCAUAGGCUGCAUCAGGGUUUCAUAUUUUUUGAUCCAGUGUGUUUGGAUGGAUUGUCCAUAGCUGCAUUUCAUAAUAAGGUAAGAAGAUACUUUUGAAUUGCAGCCGUUUAUAUUAACAUGCUGUGCAGCAACAACGUGCACAUGCUGUGCAGCACUGCACUUGCUACAAGUGCAACAGCAAGCAUCUGCUGUGCAUAAAUGCUGUGCAGUGCAGCAUUGCACUUGCUGCAAGUGCAGCAGCAAGGUGCACAUGCUGCCCAGCAAUGCACUUGCAGCCAGUACACUAUGCAUAGCAGCACUUACUACAAAUGCAGUCUGAGCUACUGUUGUGCACAACAUCACUUGACCGAUUGACUGUAAUUAAAAUCAUAAUCAAAAUUAUCUCAAUUUACAUUAAUUCCUCCUCCCAUUUUUAUGAAUUUAAUUUAUAUAUUUUUACUAUACAUAUCUUAUGUAGGAAAAUGAAUGCCAAUCGACAGUGGAUGUAUAAUAGGCUCAAGGAUGGGUUGUUGAAUACUGAAUUUUUAAACGGUUUAGAGGAGUUCAUACAAUUUGCUUCAACCCAUCCUGAAUGUAUGGAUGGUAUGAAUAUAAGAUGUCCUUGUAGUAUGAGAAGGUGUUCGAAUCGGAGGUUCCUCUGUGUGGACGAUGUACGAUAUCCGAUAUCAUCUAAUGAAAAAUGGUUUCGUCCCUAAUUACUAUAGGUGGACAGCACAUGGUGAAUGUUGGGAUGAUCAAGGAACCUCUAGUGUGCUAUUGUCUGAAACUAUCAUGGAAAACGAUUUUCAAACUGGGGCUAAUGGCCGAUACCAUGAAAUGGUACUUGAAGGGUUUGGUUUACCGCCUCAAAUUGAAUUCAUGGAGGAGGCACCUAAUGCCGAGGCACAAAGGUUGUAUGAAAUGUUACAAGCAGCAAGUGAAGAGUUAUGGCCAGGAUGCAAUAAGCACACAAAACUGUCUGCUGUGGCACGUUUGAUGAACAUGAAAUCGGAGCAUCAUUUCUCUGUAAAAUAUUUUGAUCAGAUUGUCGAGUUUUUGAAAGAAGUUCUACCCGAAGAUAAUGUGCUUCCUGAUAAUUUUUACAAAACGAAAAAGUUAAUUGAGGGUUUGGGUCUACCAGUGGAAAAGAUUGAUUGUUGCAGAAAUAAUUGCAUGAUAUAUUGUUCUGGUGACGCUGAGUUACAAGAAUGCAAGUUUUGCCAGCUUCCUAGAUAUAAACACACGGUAAACAGCUUGACAAAGCAAGUUGUUCAGAAGCCAUAUAAGAAGAUGUAUUACUUUCCUCUCACUCCAAGGUUACAACGGCUUUAUGCAUCAGACGCAACAACACCCCAUAUGAGAUGGCAUGCUAAACAUGAAUAUGAGGAAGGGGUCAUGCAUCAUCCAUCUGAUUCUCCUGCAUGGAAACACUUCAAUGCAUGUUAUCCAUCAUUUGGAUCAGAGAUAAGGAAUGUGAUGCUUGGAUUGUCUACUGACGGAUUCCAACCAUUUGGACAAUCUGGCCAACAAUACUCAUCUUGGCCCAUCAUUCUGACACUGUAUAAUCUUCCGCCAUGGCUGUGUAUGAAGUCAGAAUAUAUAUUUCUCACUGUUAUAGUUCCAGACCCAAAUAAUCCUAAAUUUAAAAUUGAUAUAUUCUUACAACCCUUAAUCGAAGAACUAAAACAAUUAUGGAACAUGGGGGUUGAGACAUAUGAUGUGGAUAAGAAGCAAAAUUUUCUCAUGCGGGUUGCUUUGCUAUGGACCAAUAGUGACUUUCCUGCUUAUGCCAUGCUUUCUGGUUGGAGCACUGCAGGAAGGCUUGCAUGCCCAUAUUGUAUGGAUAACACUGAUGCAUUUACUUCGCCACGAAGGCUUGCAUGCCCAUAUUGUAUGGAUAACACUGAUGCAUUUACUUCGCCACGAAGGCUUGCAUGCCCAUAUUGUAUGGAUAACACUGAUGCAUUUACUUUGCCAAGAGGUGGCAAACAAUGUUGGUUUGACAAUCAUGACAAAUUUUUGAACCAUACUUGCAAUACUACGCUGAAUUUGGUGAAUGAAUCAAAAUUAAUUUUAUAUGUUCACUUUUUGUAAUAGGUACAUGAACCAACCAACACAGUGAACAAUCCUCUCAUCCAAGAUUUAGCCAAAGGACCUCUAAAUAUAGUGAAUGUGUACACAGGAUACUCUAUGUAAAUGGAUACAAAUUUCAUACUGAGGGACGAAGUGCUAAUCGAAUGACGGUGAAUUGUGGUGUAUGCAUUAAAGGAACGAACUAUAGUGAUCAAUCAAGUGAUUACUAUGGUAAGUUGAUAGAGGUUCUUGAAGUAGAGUACCCGGCUUUACCUAUGAAGCGGACAGUUCUAUUCCACUGUGAAUGGUUUGAUCCUACCCCAAAUGUUGGAGUGAAAAUUCAUUUAAUGUAUAAUAUUAUGGAUGUAAAUCAAAGAAGGAGAUUUCAUAAGUAUGAGCCAUUUGUUUUGGCUAGCCAGGCACAACAAGUUUAUUACAUUCCUUAUCCUUCUUUAAGACGAGCAAGGUCUGAUUGGCAAUCUAUGAUAAAAAUUAAAGCCAGGCCAGUGAUUGAAUUACUAAAUGUUGUACCUUCGACAGCGUCAACAACAGAUGCAUAUUAAGAAGAUACUGUAACUUUGCAGCCUUUAGUCUUAAAUGAAGAAGGAUUACCUGACAUUAAAUGAUCCAGUGGGUGGUGAAGUGUUGAUUUCGGAAUUAGUUGAAGAAGAAGAAGAAGAUGAGACAUAUCAUUAUUCAACUUCAGACAAUGAUGAAUAUUACUUAGAUUAGUCAACUCUAAGCUGUAUAGUAAAAUUUUUUGCUCUAAUUAUCUUUUUUAUUAUUGUUGAUUAUUUUUACUUUUACAACAUACUAAUCUCCUGUUGGAUUUUUUUUGUACAGAUAUGGCCAGGGGUAAAGGUAAAGAAGAUGCACGUAAUGCUGAUCGUGGUGUUUUAACGGGUACAGGUAGAGGCCGAGGCCGAGGUGAUCCAGAAAUUGUUCGUGGUUAAGGCAUUAUAGCCAUUGCACCUUCUUCAGCUGACUUUAGAGCCCCAGCACUUACUCCAACAACCCCUGUAUCAUACUCAGCCCCUGCAGCCCCUCCAUUUGCUCCAGUUGCCCCCACUGCCCCAACUUCUUCAAGUUCUGUUCCUGGAUUGAGUGCUAGUCGAUCUGCAUCCUCAUCCUCAUCACAUGCUACUAGGACCUACUGUUAUGUGCAUGCAAGCGGAAAGUAAGUAUAAUGUAUAACAUUACUUAUCAUUGUAUUAUAUAUCUUUGUUAUUAGUUUUCAUUUUGGUUAAUUAUUUAAAAAUAAUUAUAUUGAAUAUUUAUAAAUUAUGCUCGCAUUAUUAAACUAUUACAGUCUUAUGCCUUCUGAGAAGACAUCUAGUGCCUGCACAAAGAUUUUUCAAAAGUACAAUAUCGAGAAGGGUUCUUCCUGGAAGAAUAUCCCAUAAUCCACAAAAGAUUUUUAUUUCAGAGAGUUUGAGGUACGCAAUAUAUUAUGCAUUCUAAUAAAGAUAAAAUGUCUUAUAAUCUAUGUUGUAUUGUAUAUGUGUUUUUUAAAUUAAUUUAUAGAAAGAAUUUCACUGGGAUGAGGGAAGUGCUGCAAUAGUAAGGAAGGCAUGGAAUAAAAAAGCAGCUACCCGAUACAAAGACCUUCUGACAAAUGAAAAGAAGAAAAAAAAGAGGAGUGCUUAUAUAUCAAAUGAAGUUUGAGAUAAAUGGAAUUUAGAUUGGAGUACUCCAGAGUAUGUAGCAAAGUCAAUGAAGUACUCAAAGAACUGCCUAACAGAGAAGGGAGGUGAAGGAGCUGGUCCUUCUAAACAUACAAGUGGGUCCAUAACACAUGAGGAGCAUGCUAGACGCAUACAAAAUGCUAAGACAGACAAAGUUCCUCCAACAGCAGCUGAGUUAUUUCUCCACACCCAUACAAAGAAGAGUGAUCGCAAUAAAUUUGUUGAUAAACGAGCUGAAAUUGUUUAUGUAAGUUUCUAUAUAAAUAAGUUGUCUUUCUAAGUAAUAUCUUGCAAGUAUGAUUUUGAUGUCUAUGUGAUUGAUUUUUAGUUGUGUCAUUGAUUUUAAGUUGUUGAUUAAUUUUGAGUUGUGUGAUUGAUUUUCAGUUGCAAGUGCGAUUCUGAUAUCUCAGUUGUGUGAUUGAUUUUGAGUUGUUGAUUGAUUUUGAGUUGUGUGAUUGAUUUUCAGUUGCAAGUAUGAUUAUGAUAUCUAGGUGAUUCUCACAAGGAAAUUGUUUAUGAUUCCCAGUUGUGUGAUUGAUUUUGAGUUGUUGAUUGAUUUUGAGUUGUGUGAUUGAUUUUUAGUUGCAAGUAUGAUUCUGAUAUCUAGGUGAUUUUCACAAGGAAAUUGUUUAUGAUUCCCAGUUGUGUGAUUGAUUUUGAGUUGUUGAUUGAUUUUGAGUUGUGUGAUUGAUUUUCAGUUGCAAGUAUGAUUCUGAUAUCUAUGUGAUUCUUGCAAGGAAAUUGUUUAUGAUUCUCAGUUGUGUGAUUGAUUUUGAGUUGUUUGAUUGAUUUUCAGUUGCAAGUAUGAUUCUGAUAUCUAGGUGAUUCUCACAAGGAAAUUGUUGAUGAUUCUCAAUUGUGUGAUUGAUUUUCAGUUGCAAGUAUGAUUCUGAUAUCUAGGUGAUUCUCACAAGGAAAUUGUUUAUGAUUCUCAGUCGUGUGAUUGAUUUUGAGUUGUGUGAUUGAUUUUCAGUUGCAAGUAUCAUUUUGAUAUCUAGGUGAUUCUCACAAGGAAAUUGUUUAUGAUUCUCAGUUGUGUGAUUGAUUUUUCUAUUAUGAUAUCUUGCAAGUAUUGUAAAUGUGAUAUCUUGCAGGUAUUAUAAUUGUCAUAUGUUGUAGGUAUUAGCAUUUUUCCUUACUUUAGUAUUCAAAUUGAACUGUUAUUCUGUGAUUUUCUAGGAAAAUUAUCUGAAGCUAAAAGAACAACAUUCAAGCCAAUAUGUGGGAUCAGAUAAUGUGGAAGGAGAUGGAGGAACUAUUAAUGAGGAUCAAUUGUUCAUUACUGCAGCAGGAGGAUGGCAAGGAAGUCGAGUUUAUGGUUUAGGUAGUGCUGCCUCUUCUGCCUUCUCUCAAACAGGAACUGGGGGAACAUCAACAAAUGUUCCAUCAUCCCAAUCACCAGAAUGGAAGAAGGAAAUUGAAGCAAAGUUUGAAGAGAAGUAUAAUAGUUUGCAGAAACUUGUAGAAGACCAAAAUCAAAUGAUAGCUCAAAUGCGUGAUUAACUACAUGCAGCGAAGAUGGGACAGCAGUCUUCCUCAUUGAUGCCAUCAUCAUCUGAUAGUCCUCUAGCUCAUAGAUCCCUUGGUGAUUCACAUAUGGAUUAGCAUGAUGUCAUUACUCACUGACUUAAAUAAUAUAUUUUAUGAUAU